This 339-nucleotide unclassified non-coding RNA is filed under the name fungal sp. Its description in RNAcentral is "partial internal transcribed spacer region". The stretch from base 1 to 46 matches the Rfam family "Eukaryotic small subunit ribosomal RNA", at positions 1786 to 1831 of the family's 1831-position model. Lineage: Eukaryota; Fungi. The record is from RNAcentral.
AAGUCGUAACAAGGUUUCCGUAGGUGAACCUGCGGAAGGAUCAUUAACAAAUUGAAUCCAAUUUUGCAACCGUGUUUUGUAUUUUGUCCUCUGGUAAGAUUAGUACUAGUUGAGAGUCCCCCUCCCCCUCCUCCUGUCGGUCUUGUCUUAGACGAGACGAGAGAAGGAAGGAGAAGAGGACACAAUAUUAUUACUGCUUACCAGCUAUUUUAAAUCCAUAAUUAACAAUCUGAUCUUUUAAAAUUCUCUUCAGAGAGAGAGAGUACACUAAUUAGUGUGCAAUCAUCUUGGAGAAAUUAACUUUGAUACAACUGUUAACAACGGAUCACUCGGUUCUCA